This 273-nucleotide ribosomal RNA is filed under the name uncultured bacterium. RNAcentral describes it as "partial 16S ribosomal RNA". It matches the Rfam family "Bacterial small subunit ribosomal RNA", at positions 524 to 796 of the family's 1533-position model. The record is from RNAcentral.
UACGUAGGUGGCGAGCGUUAUCCGGAAUUACUGGGCGUAAAGGGCCCGCAGGCGGCUUCUUAAGUCUGACGUGAAAGCUCCUGGCUUAACUGGGAGAGGUCGUUGGAGACUGGGGGGCUUGAGGCGAUGAGAGGGGUGUGGAAUUCCCGGUGUAGUGGUGGAAUGCGUAGAUAUCGGGAGGAACACCAGUGGCGAAAGCGGCACCCUGGCAUCGGCCUGACGCUGAGGGGCGAAGGCGUGGGGAGCGAACGGGAUUAGAAACCCCUGUAGUCC